Molecule: ribosomal RNA, 490 nt
Filed under: uncultured bacterium
Lineage: Bacteria
Description: partial 16S ribosomal RNA
Rfam family: Bacterial small subunit ribosomal RNA
Source: RNAcentral
GAUGAACGCUAGCUACAGGCUUAACACAUGCAAGUCGCGGGGCAGCAUGGGGGUUGCUUGCAAUCCCCGAUGGCGACCGGCGCACGGGUGAGUAACGCGUAUCCAACCUGCCCUUCACCACGGGAUAACCCGGCGAAAGUCGGACUAAUACCGUAUGUUGCCCAUUGACGGCAUCCGAUUUGGACGAAAGGUUUGGCGGUGAAGGAUGGGGAUGCGUCCGAUUAGCUGGACGGCGGGGUGACGGCCCACCGUGGCGACGAUCGGUAGGGGUUCUGAGAGGAAGGUCCCCCACACUGGAACUGAGACACGGUCCAGACUCCUACGGGAGGCAGCAGUGAGGAAUAUUGGGCAAUGGGCGUAAGCCUGAACCAGCCAAGUAGCGUGCAGGAUGACGGCCCUAUGGGUUGUAAACUGCUUUUAUGCGGGGAUAAAGUGGCCCACGUGUGGGUUUUUGCAGGUACCGCAUGAAUAAGGACCGGCUAAUUCCGUG